RNAcentral lists this transfer RNA (78 nucleotides) under Burkholderia lata. Its description in RNAcentral is "tRNA-Ala". Lineage: Bacteria; Pseudomonadati; Pseudomonadota; Betaproteobacteria; Burkholderiales; Burkholderiaceae. The record is from RNAcentral.
CGGCACCACCGGCGGCGCUUGCGCCCGCGCCGUUCGCACCGCUGCCGGCUGCCGGCGUGCGAUUCCACGGGUGCCACC